GCGUAGGGUAAGUAGGUUGUGGGAAAAUGAGAAAAUUAAAUACUAGGUAAUCAUCUUUUUAGGUUUUCUUACUAUUUCACUGAAUCUCGGACGGGACAAUGGUAUUUUUAGGGAGUGGUUAAAUAUAAGAUAUAAAAAGGACCGACAGUGGUGAAAGCAAUUUUCUUGUCGAGUAUUGAGCUAAGAUACGAAAGCAGGGGAGCAAAGAGGAUUAGAGACCCUCGUAGUCCGUGUGUCAACGCUGAGUUUUCAAUGUAGGAAAAUCUUUUUGUUUUAUAAUUUUUAAAUUAUUUUCCUAUAUCUAUAUAAAUACAGUAAUAAAUUGUAUUUAUAUUGCUUGAUAUCGAAUCGAGCUUAAGGUGUAUAGGCACAAAGAUCUAAAACUUAUUAAACACUAUAUUAUAGUAAAUUAAAAGAUAAUUCUGGUGUUUGAGUAACGCAUUAAAUUCUCCGCUGGGAAGUACGGCCGCAGGUUGAAACUCAAAAGAAUUGAGGUGACUUGUACAAGG
RNAcentral lists this ribosomal RNA (509 nucleotides) under Oligonema sp. RNAcentral describes it as "partial small subunit ribosomal RNA". It matches the Rfam family "Bacterial small subunit ribosomal RNA", at positions 558 to 930 of the family's 1533-position model. Lineage: Eukaryota; Evosea; Eumycetozoa; Trichiida; Trichiidae. The record is from RNAcentral.